This 893-nucleotide long non-coding RNA is filed under the name Nicotiana tabacum (common tobacco). RNAcentral describes it as "long non-coding RNA (NTAB_LNC004446)". The record is from RNAcentral. Lineage: Eukaryota; Viridiplantae; Streptophyta; Magnoliopsida; Solanales; Solanaceae.
UCAUUACAAACUCCUUAAAUUAAAACACAUAAAUAAAGUAAAAUUUAUCUAACACAAAGUCCAAUUGAAAUACAUGAAUAUAAAUUUUAAGAAAAGAAUAAAGUAUGUUGCUUCCCCAAAUGCUAGUGCUAAUAACUUCACUCUUGAAUAAAUUUUCAUCUUUAUCUACCUAAAAAAAGAAAAAAAUUGUAAUUUUAGUACUUAUUUUUUUUAUCAAAUGAAUUAGAAAACAUAUAUUUUAAAUGUUAAUAAUAAAUUAAAUAUUAAUAAAACAAUAAAAAGAAAAAUAAGUAGUGAUUGCGAUACUUACUCCAAUUCUUCUUUGGCUACGACCACAAGAAUUCAGACCAAGAGAUAUAAAAUUCUGAGUAGUUAACCUCUCAAAAAUCAAAGAAGAGUAGAUAAGAAAUUUCAUACCAGUACCGGAAAAUUAAAAAUAAAUAGGAGCAUACUGAUACAUACAUGUCAUAUAGCACAUGGAGAAAUCCAAAUUUGUAAUGUCCUAAAUACAUAUUGAAAGUAAAGUAGAUUAUAUACCUUGUCUUAAGAUGUUUAUCAUCCUAGAUUUGAUCUUCUAUGGUAUUAAAUCAAUAAAUUGUUUUUUGGAGAAAACACACACGCGCGCGCACACACACACACAGAGAGAGAGAGAGAGAGAGGAUGAAAAUAUAGAAGAUUUUACUUAGGCAUGGGUUUGAUUGGGGUAUGAAGUGCAUAUAAUAAGAUAUGAGGAGGGAAAAUAGGGGAAAACUAAAUAUAGGUGGCAAUAAAAAGAGUGAUUUCGAAAAAAAAAGAGGGAAUCUUGCCGCUACUUUUUCCUGAAACUUUGAAAAAAAUAGAAACUUAGCCAUGUUUCCAGCAACUUUAUAACCCCACCAUGUGCUGUGAAUAAU